This 301-nucleotide ribosomal RNA is filed under the name uncultured bacterium. RNAcentral's name for it is "partial 16S ribosomal RNA". It matches the Rfam family "Bacterial small subunit ribosomal RNA", at positions 509 to 807 of the family's 1533-position model. The record is from RNAcentral.
CAGCAGCCGCGGUAAUACGAAGGGUGCAAGCGUUACUCGGAAUUACUGGGCGUAAAGCGUGCGUAGGUGGUUGUUUAAGUCUGCUGUGAAAGCCCUGGGCUCAACCUGGGAAUUGCAGUGGAUACUGGGCGACUAGAGUAAGGUAGAGGAUAGUGGAAUUUCCGGUGUAGCAGUGAAAUGCGUAGAGAUCGGAAGGAACAUCUGUGGCGAAGGCGACUAUCUGGGCCAUUACUGACACUGAGGCACGAAAGCGUGGGGAGCAAACAGGAUUAGAUACCCGCGUAGUCCCUGUCUCUUAUAC